This 498-nucleotide ribosomal RNA is filed under the name uncultured bacterium. RNAcentral describes it as "partial 16S ribosomal RNA". It matches the Rfam family "Bacterial small subunit ribosomal RNA", at positions 29 to 523 of the family's 1533-position model. The record is from RNAcentral.
AUUGAACGCUGGCGGCAUGCCUUACACAUGCAAGUCGAACGGUAACGCGGGGCAACCUGGCGACGAGUGGCGAACGGGUGAGUAAUAUAUCGGAACGUGCCCAGUUGUGGGGGAUAACUGCUCGAAAGAGCAGCUAAUACCGCAUACGACCUGAGGGUGAAAGCGGGGGAUCGCAAGACCUCGCGCAAUUGGAGCGGCCGAUAUCAGAUUAGGUAGUUGGUGGGGUAAAGGCCUACCAAGCCGACGAUCUGUAGCUGGUCUGAGAGGACGACCAGCCACACUGGGACUGAGACACGGCCCAGACUCCUACGGGAGCCAGCAGUGGGGAAUUUUGGACAAUGGGGGCAACCCUGAUCCAGCCAUGCCGCGUGCGGGAAGAAGGCCUUCGGGUUGUAAACCGCUUUUGUCAGGGAAGAAAAGACUCCUACUAAUACUGGGGGUUCAUGACGGUACCUGAAGAAUAAGCACCGGCUAACUACGUGCCAGCAGCCGCCGCGG